RNAcentral lists this ribosomal RNA (254 nucleotides) under uncultured bacterium. RNAcentral describes it as "partial 16S ribosomal RNA". It matches the Rfam family "Bacterial small subunit ribosomal RNA", at positions 524 to 776 of the family's 1533-position model. The record is from RNAcentral.
CACGUAGGGUGCGAGCGUUGUCCGGAAUUAUUGGGCGUAAAGAGCUCAUAGGCGGUGUGUCGCGUCGGCCGUGAAAACCUGCAGCUUAACUGUGGGCUUGCGGUCGAUACGGGCAUCACUGGAGUUCGGCAGGGGAGACUGGAAUUCCUGGUGUAGCGGUGAAAUGCGCAGAUAUCAGGAGGAACACCGGUGGCGAAGGCGGGUCUCUGGGCCGAUACUGACGCUGAGGAGCGAAAGCGUGGGGAGCGAACAGG